This 338-nucleotide unclassified non-coding RNA is filed under the name soil metagenome. RNAcentral describes it as "partial contains 5.8S ribosomal RNA, internal transcribed spacer 2, and large subunit ribosomal RNA". The stretch from base 1 to 120 matches the Rfam family "5.8S ribosomal RNA", at positions 35 to 154 of the family's 154-position model. The record is from RNAcentral.
GAUGAAGAACGUAGCGAAAUGCGAUAAGUAGUGUGAAUUGCAGAAUUCAGUGAAUCGUCGAAUCUUUGAACGCACAUUGCGCCCCUUGGUAUUCCAUGGGGCAUGCCUGUUCGAGCGUCAUCUACACCCUCAAGCUCUGCUUGGUGUUGGGCGUCUGUCCCGCCCCCGCGCGUGGACUCGCCCCAAAUCCAUUGGCAGCGUUCCUUGCCCCCUCUCGUGCAGCACAUUGCGCUUCUCGAGGGCGGCUCCGGGACGCGAUCCAGCAAGAUGACCACCGUCUUUGACCUCGGAUCAGGUAGGGAUACCCGCUGAACUUAAGCAUAUCAAUAAGCGGAGGA